Trichonephila inaurata madagascariensis is the source of this 76-nucleotide non-coding RNA. The record is from the annotation of a GenBank genome assembly. NCBI's taxonomy places the organism in Eukaryota, Metazoa, Arthropoda, Arachnida, Araneae, Nephilidae.
UCCUCGGUAGUAUAGUGGUCGGCUGAUAUCCUGCCUGUCACGCGGGGAGACCGGAGUUCGAUUCCCCGCCGGGGAG